This 1069-nucleotide unclassified non-coding RNA is filed under the name Hevea brasiliensis (rubber tree). The record is from RNAcentral. Lineage: Eukaryota; Viridiplantae; Streptophyta; Magnoliopsida; Malpighiales; Euphorbiaceae.
GAGUUCCACCUGGAGGGAUGUAUCCAGGCAUGCCACCAUAUUAUUGAGGUAAUUGUUGUUGUUUACUUUCUAAUGAUGUUGAUAACAUGUAGUUUUUGGCAAAUUGAGUAUAUUUCUGUUGGCUAUUUUAUGCAGAUUUGCUUUUUGAUAGAAAUUGAAACAUGUUGAAUUUGUUGUUUUUGCCUAUGGGCUAUUGUGGGUGAAUUGCCCCAUUUAUUUAGUGUUUGAGGUAGCACUUGUCAUACAAUUUUGCUUUGAUGGAUUUGAUUGUGCUGUUGGUGUGUUUGUGGGUGAGUUGUGAAAGCCCUGUUCGGAAGGAUUUGAUUGAAUCUAAGAAAUGUUGAUCUUUCUCGUUUCUUAUUCUUCAAGUUGCUCCUUGGAUUUUCAAGGGGCUUUUUUUAGUUUUCUUUCAUCCAUGGUUGCAUUUGCAAGCUGUCUGCUGAUGCUUCUCAAGAGACCCGUUGAUGUGAUUUUGUUGAGAUACAUCUUAUUCUUUCUUAAUUUUGUUUGUGAUAUUAAGUUGGAACACUUGGAUUGUAUUCUUCUAGAUUUGCUACUUAAUCCUACUGAUCCACGUGGUUUAUUAAUAAUUGAUGCAGCUGCUCUUUCUAGUUUUGUAGUCCAGUUUUGAAAGUUUCCUAGUGGAUUACAGUGUUAAUUUAAGUUAAUAAAUUUUCCUGUAUUUGGUGUUUGUGGAGCAAUGUCUGCAGCAGUACCUUGAACACAGUUGUUCUAAUUUUCCUUUUGGUGUGCUUGCUUUGUUAGAUUUUCCACUGUCACAAGUGUGGUUGUACUUGUUCCCUGAAACUUGUUAGUUGAAUUGAAUUACCAUUUGCUUUGCAAUAGUGUUGUUUGGAAAACAAUUAUCAUGACAUGUGCAAAAGCUUCAAACUUGUUGACUUUUGAUUGUCACAUAUAUUAUAGAUUUUUUUUUUUGGGUUUCGACUGCUAUAUUGAGUUGCUAUUUUGUGCUAUAUUUAGCAAUGUUUCUGUUUUAUACGAUUGACUUCCAAUACUGGUUUGUGAUCUGACGGGUGUUUGGUUCAGGUGUAUGAGAGCUUCCUGGGCA